RNAcentral lists this ribosomal RNA (253 nucleotides) under uncultured bacterium. Its description in RNAcentral is "partial 16S ribosomal RNA". It matches the Rfam family "Bacterial small subunit ribosomal RNA", at positions 524 to 776 of the family's 1533-position model. The record is from RNAcentral.
UACGUAGGAUCCAAGCGUUGUCCGGAUUUACUGGGUGUAAAGGGUGCGCAGGCGGACUUAUAAGUCAGUGGUGAAAUCUCACAGCUUAACUGUGAAACUGCCUUUGAUACUGUAAGUCUUGGAUCCGGGAGAGAAUUGUGGAAUUCCGAGUGUAGCAGUGAAAUGUGUAGAUAUUCGGAAGAACACCAGUGGCGAAGGCAGCAAUUUGGCCCGGUAUCGACGCUCAGGCACGAAAGCAUGGGGAUCAAACAGG